RNAcentral lists this ribosomal RNA (253 nucleotides) under uncultured bacterium. Its description in RNAcentral is "partial 16S ribosomal RNA". It matches the Rfam family "Bacterial small subunit ribosomal RNA", at positions 524 to 776 of the family's 1533-position model. The record is from RNAcentral.
GACGAACCACACAAACGUUAUUCGGAAUUACUGGGCUUAAAGGGUGCGUAGGCGGCGCAGAAAGUAGGGUGUGAAAUCCCUCGGCUCAACCGAGGAACUGCGCCCUAAACUACUGUGCUCGAGGGAGGUAGAGGUGAGCGGAACUUAGGGUGGAGCGGUGAAAUGCGUUGAUAUCCUAAGGAACACCGGUGGCGAAAGCGGCUCACUGGACCUCUUCUGACGCUGAGGCGCGAAAGCCAGGGGAGCAAACGGG